ACCGAACCGACUAAUGUUGAAAAAUUAGCGGAUGACUUGUGGCUGGGGGGGAAAGGCCAAUCAAACCGGGAGAUAGCUGGUUCUCCCCGAAAGCUAUUUAGGUAGCGCCUCGUGAACUCAUCUCCGGGGGUAGAGCACUGUUUCGGCAAGGGGGUCAUCCCGACUUACCAACCCGAUGCAAACUGCGAAUACCGGAGAAUGUUAUCACGGGAGACACACGGCGGGUGCUAACGUCCGUCGUGAAGAGGGAAACAACCCAGACCGCCAGCUAAGGUCCCAAAGUCAUGGUUAAGUGGGAAACGAUGUGGGAAGGCCCAGACAGCCAGGAUGUUGGCUUAGAAGCAGCCAUCAUUUAAAGAAAGCGUAAUAGCUCACUGGUCGAGUCGGCCUGCGCGGAAGAUGUAACGGGGCUAAACCAUGCACCGAAGCUGCGGCAGCGACGCUUAUGCGUUGUUGGGUAGGGGA
RNAcentral lists this ribosomal RNA (465 nucleotides) under Escherichia coli. RNAcentral's name for it is "bacterial LSU rRNA". It matches the Rfam family "Bacterial large subunit ribosomal RNA", at positions 773 to 1235 of the family's 2925-position model. The record is from RNAcentral. Lineage: Bacteria; Pseudomonadati; Pseudomonadota; Gammaproteobacteria; Enterobacterales; Enterobacteriaceae.